ACGGAGGAUCCAAGCGUUAUCCGGAUUUAUUGGGUUUAAAGGGUGCGUAGGCGGGAGAUUAAGUCAGUGGUGAAAGUUUGCAGCUCAACUGUAAAAUUGCCAUUGAAACUGAUUUUCUUGAGUGCAAAUGAGGUAGGCGGAAUGUGUUGUGUAGCGGUGAAAUGCUUAGAUAUAACACAGAACCCCGAUUGCGAAGGCAGCUUACUGGGAUGCAACUGACGCUGAGGCACGAAAGCGUGGGGAUCAAACAG
Molecule: ribosomal RNA, 251 nt
Filed under: uncultured prokaryote
Description: partial 16S rRNA
Rfam family: Bacterial small subunit ribosomal RNA
Source: RNAcentral